UAAUGCUUGGGAAUCUGGCUUAUGGGAGGGGAUAACGACGGGAAACUGUCGCUAAUACCGCGUAUUAUCGGAAGAUGAAAGUGCGGGACUGAGAGGCCGCAUGCCAUAGGAUGAGCCCAAGUGGGAUUAGGUAGUUGGUGGGGUAAAGGCCUACCAAGCCUGCGAUCUCUAGCUGGUCUGAGAGGAUGACCAGCCACACUGGAACUGAGACACGGUCCAG
Molecule: ribosomal RNA, 220 nt
Filed under: uncultured bacterium
Lineage: Bacteria
Description: partial 16S ribosomal RNA
Rfam family: Bacterial small subunit ribosomal RNA
Source: RNAcentral